Molecule: long non-coding RNA, 1001 nt
Organism: Camelina sativa (false flax)
Lineage: Eukaryota; Viridiplantae; Streptophyta; Magnoliopsida; Brassicales; Brassicaceae
Source: RefSeq, a predicted model, not a curated record
UUGCGAUGUCAGCGUCUCUAAAAUCAUUUGAAAACAACCACAGACCUAAGCGUAAGCCAACAACGUUUAAGCUCCUAUAAUUCGAGUUCCCCUUAAUAAUUAAGAUUAGACCUCUUACUCUUCCCUAGGGUUUUCGUUACAAAUUCAUCUUCUCUAAAUGUCUUUCAACAACCAGCUCUCCAUUGCAAUAACGAUUACUCUCCCCUCGAUCAUUUAUCUCAUGUGGUGGCAUACCCAGUUUCAGUCUCAAUAAAACAGUGUCAUCGGGAUCCGUUUUUGGGUUUAAGCAAGGAGAAGGAGAGAGAUAUAGUCAUAGAGUAAACAACGAGUAGUAAAGGCAGGAGGAAAAACUACUCUUCAAUGGUCUAUGAUAAAUCAAAAUUGAUGGAGACCAUGACUCUUGCAAUUUCAAGAGUUGAUCCACCUCUCUUAUCCUUUUGACUCAAGGUGAGAAAGUGAAAUUAAGGUGAUUUCUAUAAUCCGUGUUUCAACGACUCUGUAAUCUUGGAAAUUAUAUUUAUAGUGUCGAAAACUCCAAAUUAUCUUUGUUACAUAUGGUGAACACGUUAUGCUAUUUACCUCUAUUAGAAAUGGUGAAUACCUAAAGCGCCUCCAGGUAUGCAGAGCAUCCUAUGUUGUAGUAAAAUUUUUAACCAUCCAUUCUCUAAGUCAUGUAUGUUUUCUUUCUUUUUUAUGCGACGAAACACAUGUGCUCUAUUAAUAUAAAAGAACUAAUGGUCCUCUGUUUGUUGUUUCAUCUUUUUAUUUGCAUCACUAAGCUUGGCCGGGAGAAGUUUCCCAACUGAACCUAUUAUUAAAAGGUUGUUGACAAUUGUGAACUAAGUGAUUAGUUGAUUAAAUUGUGUGUUGUUUCAUUGUUUGGUGGGAGUCGUCUUUAUGUGUAUGUGGGUUUGGAAAAUUCUACUAUUGUGUUGUGCUUUACAUUUGCAGUUAUCUACCAGUUACUCUUCUAACGGUUAACGAUUUGGUUUUAUUUAUGA